UACGAAGGGGGCUAGCGUUGCUUCGGAAUUACUGGGCGUAAAGCGCACGUAGGCGGCUUUCUAAGUCGGGGGUGAAAUCCUGGAGCUCAACUCCAGAACUGCCUUCGAUACUGGAAAGCUCGAGUCCGGGAGAGGUGAGCGGAACUGCGAGUGUAGAGGUGAAAUUCGUAGAUAUUCGCAAGAACACCAGUGGCGAAGGCGGCUCACUGGCCCGGUACUGACGCUGAGGUGCGAAAGCGUGGGGAGCAAACAGG
RNAcentral lists this ribosomal RNA (254 nucleotides) under uncultured bacterium. Its description in RNAcentral is "partial 16S ribosomal RNA". It matches the Rfam family "Bacterial small subunit ribosomal RNA", at positions 524 to 776 of the family's 1533-position model. The record is from RNAcentral.